Molecule: unclassified non-coding RNA, 335 nt
Filed under: soil metagenome
Description: partial contains 5.8S ribosomal RNA, internal transcribed spacer 2, and large subunit ribosomal RNA
Rfam family: 5.8S ribosomal RNA (bases 1-120)
Source: RNAcentral
GAUGAAGAACGUAGCGAAAUGCGAUAAGUAGUGUGAAUUGCAGAAUUCAGUGAAUCAUCGAAUCUUUGAACGCACAUUGCGCCCCUUGGUACUCCAUGGGGCAUGCCUGUUCGAGCGUCAUUUACACCCUCAAGCUCAGCUUGGCGUUGGGCGUCUGUCCCGCUUCGUGCGCGGACUCGCCUCAAAUGCAUUGGCAGCGGUCUUGCCAGCUUCUCGCGCAGCACAUUGCGCUUCUAGAGGCUUUGGCGGAUCGGCGUCCAUCAAGUACACCCACAGUUUGACCUCGGAUCAGGUAGGGAUACCCGCUGAACUUAAGCAUAUCAAUAAGCGGAGGA